Molecule: long non-coding RNA, 1961 nt
Organism: Diceros bicornis minor
Lineage: Eukaryota; Metazoa; Chordata; Mammalia; Perissodactyla; Rhinocerotidae
Exons: 3
Source: RefSeq, a predicted model, not a curated record
CUGACGGGCAGAGCCAGGCCCGGGGGGUUGGGGGGGGUGUCUCGAGGCGCCCUCCUGCCGCGGCCUGGGCGAACCUGAACGCCCCAGGCGGCCUCGGCCUCGGCAGAGGCUGACCAUUGCCCGGCCGCACCAUCCCAGACCGCAGGAGCCCCGUCUCCAGCCGCGCCUCCUGGGGACGCGCUGACUCCCGGCGGUGCUCUAGGGCCGCUCAGGGUUCGAAAACAGAACGCGAGGAGACGAAAGCACUCGCGGGAACCCGCUUAGACGCCGGAGAAGGGGUGAAUGGAGUGGGCGAGUAGGGUGGCGGAAGGGGGACCGUUUCCCUCCCUCACACAGGCCUGCUCCCAUCCAGACUUUGCAGCAAGACCGACCCGAACGCGCUCGCCCCCAUAGGCCAGAGCCCGCGGGCGUGUUCGGGCACUUGCGCGACUGGGCCUGGGAUGCGUGGACCUCUGUGCUCCUGCCCUACCGGAAGGCCACAUUACUACAGAAGCCAGAUUGCGGGACCAACGGCGUGUACCCGGGGGCUUAAACAUAGCCCCCUCCCGACUAAAACAGUAGAUUCCCAGGGCGCUUAGGGGGUGCAAAAGUAGUCACCACGCAAUGAAGAAGAAUGAGAGGAGGGCGAGCCCCAGGUCCGAGUGGGACGACAGGAGGGGAACGGAAAGACCCGCCCUGAACUCGCCGAGAGCGCGCGCAGAAGGAAGCGAGCGAGGGACCACGGGAGAGAAGGCGCGUAGGACCUAAGGUGCGGAGCCUGUGAUCGCAAGGCCGAGGACGCAGUGAGUCUGCCUCUUCGAGAACUCUCCCCGAAGAUCCUCUGAGGAGGAAAAACAAAGCAGGGUGUGCAUGAAUGACACAGGAGAUCUAUCUGGCAAUGACAGUGUCACCACCUCCUCUGACAUUUAUAGCCCCACUGGCUCCUCACUCCCCAGACACCCCAGAGGCCAAGAGUUGAUGUGCAGACCUGGGUCAAGCCUGGGGGCAGCGAGGGGCCAGUAUUCUAGCUCUACCUCCCCCGGUCCUCCUCCUCCUGCCUGGAGCUUGCCUGAACUGAGCUCUCCCUCCUCACCCCUCUUUCUGCCCCAACACCCCUCUACCGCUACUGUUCCUUCGUGCCCUGAGGGGGCCUGGAAAGACCUGCCAACUCCCUGCGGACCAGUAUGGCCUUGACACAUCCCAGCUCCUGUCUUCUCACACAGCUUCUGGAAAGGCACAUCCUUUCCAGACCCUCAACUACCAGAAACACACCCUGCCACCUGAAUGGCCCAGCCCCCACAUACCUUUGAACUUCUUGAGCAGCCCCUUUAAGACAAAGGUCUUGAGGGAAACAUUCCAGACUUUAUUCUUCAUCUCAGAAGAGACUGUGGUUGGCUUGGGGCCAGGCACAUUGCUGCACCUGCAGGACAAAGACCUUGAGGAAGGCCCACAAACACUGUCACACUCCCACCUGUGACAAUUAGGAUGGUGAGGUCCUCUUGGUGGAGAGAAGUGGAAAAAGGAGGGGCUGACCUUUUGCUGGAAUACCCACAGCCAGAAUUUUCACUGGAGCCAUACGCUAGGACCCACUGAUGCCUCUGCUCUUGACACCACUCAAGACAAGUCACAGCCCUUAAGCAACGACUGGUCGCUCAGACCAGUGUCUUUCCAAUGGCUGUUCUUGAUCCAUUUGUGACUUGUGAAGUUUAUUUACUGGAUUGUGACUAUUUUAAAAGGAAAUAAAAUAGAAUAGCAAACAUAAAAGUGCAUCACAUAUAGUAAAGGCAAGUGUUAUUUUCCGAGACUUUUGUCUCAGGUGUGUAUAUGCUGGAAUACAAUGUAAGGUAUAUUGUUGUGGCUCAUGGUCAAGAAAGUUUUAUCACAUCCCUUUCAACCUCUUCGGCCCCAGAUAGUGUGAUUCUGCUACACUCACAGGAUCUGACUGUGUUCUCACUGCCGUUCACGGCGCCGCAGGAUAAAAG